RNAcentral lists this long non-coding RNA (333 nucleotides) under Canis lupus familiaris (dog). RNAcentral describes it as "lncRNA (ENSCAFG00040021813.1)". The record is from RNAcentral. Lineage: Eukaryota; Metazoa; Chordata; Mammalia; Carnivora; Canidae.
GUUGAUAUCAGAGAUGCACAUGACCUGAAGGAUCUGCAUGUGAUGCCAGUUGAGCCCCAGAAAGGCAGUGCGACCUCAGAAUUGCUGAGCAGAAAAAAGACUGCUGGAGAAGUAGCUGGAGUGAGAAUCAAGACAACCAGAUCACAGGACUGGACCUUCCAUAAUCCACGUGAUACUGGGGAGGGGGCGGAGCCUUCUCUGAGAAGCUUGGAAGUGAGCUGUGCCUGGCCAGUCUUGGGGGAGGGGCUGCAUUUCACGAGGCUGCAGCUGACAAGAAGCUUCAAGCCUAGGUUAAUAUUGAAGAUACACAUGACCUGGGCAAUCUGCAUGUGA